GAUCACCAGGACUUGAAUAUCUUGGACGUACCGAUUGCCCCAACUAUCCUUAUUGAGCAAUUUCAGUAGCUCUUGCAAUAGGUCCAAGCACUGACCAUUGUAGUGCAAUGCUUGUAGCAGGUAGCUCAUCAGCCAGCUCUGAUGUCGAGCGAUCAUCCUGCCCUGAUGCAUCUAAUCUCCCUCCUUCUUCGAUGAGCUUGAGAUGGAGCAAUCAGUCCCACCCUGAUAGCCCAGAAGAAGCUCAGUGGAUUUCUUAAUCCACCC
This 264-nucleotide long non-coding RNA is filed under the name Elaeis guineensis (African oil palm). RNAcentral describes it as "long non-coding RNA (EGUI_LNC028385)". The record is from RNAcentral. Lineage: Eukaryota; Viridiplantae; Streptophyta; Magnoliopsida; Arecales; Arecaceae.